GGGUGCUUACCAUGCAGUCGACGAUGAACCACUUCGGUGGGGAUUAGUGGCGAACGGGUGAGUAACACGUGGGCAAUCUGCCCUGCACUCUGGGACAAGCCCUGGAAACGGGGUCUAAUACCGGAUACUGAUCGCCUUGGGCAUCCUUGGUGAUCGAAAGCUCCGGCGGUGCAGGAUGAGCCCGCGGCCUAUCAGCUUGUUGGUGAGGUAAUGGCUCACCAAGGCGACGACGGGUAGCCGGCCUGAGAGGGCGACCGGCCACACUGGGACUGAGACACGGCCCAGACUCCUACGGGAGGCAGCAGUGGGGAAUAUUGCACAAUGGGCGAAAGCCUGAUGCAGCGACGCCGCGUGAGGGAUGACGGCCUUCGGGUUGUAAACCUCUUUCAGCAGGGAAGAAGCGAAAGUGACGGUACCUGCAGAAGAAGCGCCGGCUAACUACGUGCCAGCAGCCGCGGUAAUACGUAGGGCGCGAGCGUUGUCCGGAAUUAUUGGGCGUAAAGAGCUCGUAGGCGGCUUGUCGCGUCGGUUGUGAAAGCCCGGGGCUUAACCCCGGUCUGCAGUCGAUACGGGCAGGCUAGAGUUCGGUAGGGGAGAUCGGAAUUCCUGGUGUAGCGGUGAAAUGCGCAGAUAUCAGGAGGAACACCGGUGGCGAAGGCGGAUCUCUG
This 668-nucleotide ribosomal RNA is filed under the name Streptomyces cellulosae. RNAcentral's name for it is "bacterial SSU rRNA". It matches the Rfam family "Bacterial small subunit ribosomal RNA", at positions 42 to 731 of the family's 1533-position model. Lineage: Bacteria; Bacillati; Actinomycetota; Actinomycetes; Kitasatosporales; Streptomycetaceae. The record is from RNAcentral.